This 24-nucleotide non-coding RNA is filed under the name Arabidopsis thaliana (thale cress). The record is from RNAcentral. Lineage: Eukaryota; Viridiplantae; Streptophyta; Magnoliopsida; Brassicales; Brassicaceae.
AUUCAGAUUUGCCUCGCUAACAGG